This 1513-nucleotide long non-coding RNA is filed under the name Brassica napus (rape). RNAcentral describes it as "long non-coding RNA (BNAP_LNC010005)". Lineage: Eukaryota; Viridiplantae; Streptophyta; Magnoliopsida; Brassicales; Brassicaceae. The record is from RNAcentral.
CAAAACAAAAACAGUGACAGUAGCUCUGACUUAUUUUUUUUUUCACUGAAAUUUUCAUUACUACCGUAAAAAAGAUACAUCGGUGAAAUACUGAAGCCGGCGGAAAACGUAGAAAUCUCCGGAAACUAAGCCCAAACACGGGAAGCUAUAACCCAAACAGCGGGUCUUGUUCAAACUACCGAAACAUCACCUAAACUCUUACAUUCCCUCAAAAACCCAAAAGUUAAACAACAAUGGAUAACAGAACAAAGACUUAAUUGUCUAUGACUAGCCGGAGAUCUUACUACGAACUGAGCAAGCGAGCACGCAAAGUUUGUUAAGGAGAGCAGAACCUCAUCUGAACCUCCUGUUCAAGAUGACAACACCAAACCACAGAAACCUCAUCUGAACCUCCUGUCCCAGAUGACAACACCAGAGCACAAAGACCUCAUUUGAACCACUUGUUCACGAUGACAACAACCAAACCACAACUCUAUAGGCCAAACAUAAAACCAGGGGGAACCACACCUGUGAAAUUCCAUCUUCAAUCGCCCCUUCAUCUGGACACCUCCACACUUCGACCUCAUUUUAUUGCUUCACUAGUUGAAGCCACCGAGGAAGAACAACCAAAGGCAAACCAGGAACAACACUUAUUCAAAGGGCGAGAAUAUGAUACCUUUAAAACACGGCAGGUGAAGAGAUGAACUGAACUUGUCUUCAUCUCAAACCCCUAAAACCUUCAACUGCUCCUCACAACAACACCACCUCACUGCUUCACCGUUGCAGAAUCAAAGACCAACCAAGACCAACUCUAAAAUCCAAGACAGAUUAACCGGGUUCAACCCCUAACAAAGAAUUGCAACACUACCCAAAACCGAUUGUAGACACAACCGCCACAUCACAACAGAGACACCAAGGCUCAGACUUUUACCUCGCUAGGAGACGCAAAUGGAGGCCGGAGAAGGGACCAACCCUUAACCACCACCGACAAACACCACUCUACGCACCCAGAACUACAAGAGGUUCACAGAUCUGAGAAACCAAAAGCUCUAAUAGAGUAUAUUCAGCACACGGGCAAAUGGAGCAGCUCUAAAAGAAAGAGGAGAAGAGAUCUAAGAAGGGAAAGGGAGACAAUACAGCUUUCAGGAUUAGAUCCGGCGACCGCGAGGGAUGGCGGCCGCCGAGCUAGGGUUCUAACACGAGAGCGUUUCUACUUGCAGUAGCUCUGACUUAUUAUCUGGUAAAAAAUGUUUAAGGUUAAUUUGUGUAUUAGCUCAGUAAUUUUAAUACAGAAUUAGCAAACCGAAAUUUUAGAAAAUGGAGCCAACCCAAAUUACUUAUAAGUCAAGUUACAAUUAUAAAGAAAUGAGUUAAAAAGUGUAUGGAGAUGGUAGAAAUGGAUCCUCAAUUAACAAAGAGGUAAGGUAAUGGAGAAAAAUAUUUCAUUGCAUCAAAAUUCAAUAGAUACAAAGUCAGCUCUUUGGACUUCCGUAAUCGUAGCGAUUAAGUAGUCAACCAAAUAGGAAAAGAAAAC